GGACGGAAGCGGCCAGGGAGGACUGAAAAUCCUUGUGUCGCUGGUUCGAUUCCAGUUCUGGCCA
RNAcentral lists this transfer RNA (64 nucleotides) under Verrucomicrobiota bacterium. Its description in RNAcentral is "tRNA-Phe". It matches the Rfam family "tRNA". Rfam says of the family: Transfer RNA (tRNA) molecules are approximately 80 nucleotides in length. Lineage: Bacteria; Pseudomonadati; Verrucomicrobiota. The record is from RNAcentral.